This 207-nucleotide ribosomal RNA is filed under the name Triticum aestivum (bread wheat). RNAcentral's name for it is "partial small subunit ribosomal RNA". The record is from RNAcentral. Lineage: Eukaryota; Viridiplantae; Streptophyta; Magnoliopsida; Poales; Poaceae.
AUGAUUGUGAAGGUAAUAGAUGGCAGAUGGGAGGUGAUCUACUUUGUUAGCGAGCACAACCAUCCGUUGAUUGACAAGCCAUGUUUGACUAAGUAUUUGCGAUCACACCAAGGGAUACCGCCAGAAGAAAGGGCCUUCCUUACUCACCUUCAUAACUACAAUUUAACUACAGGUUUUGAACCACACCCACCUCCCCCUAUCUUCUAA